AUGGGAGCUGGAGCACGGCGACCAGGUGCUUCGGCGAUGAGGCUACCAGCAACUAUACCGCGCGCGGUUUAUCAUGGCCCUGCCGUCGUGUGCCGCGGCACGGCACACUGGCUCUUUUACGAUGGGAUGAUGCUAGACUUAUGCAUUGUUGGUAUGGAAGCUAAGACGGGCCACGUCACCUUGACAAGGAUCCCCUUUGAGAUGGACGACAUGAGAUGUCGCCCGUGCCUUACCCUCUCCACCGGUGGGACACUUUCGCUAAUCUAUGUCGACAGGGAAGGGCCCCAGGUAGUGAUCUGGGAAAUUUUGGACGAGACUACAAAUUGCCUCUGCACUCGGAGUAUCAAGUUAGAUGAACCAGGCAAGAAGCUUACUCAAAGCAUAUCAAGCUUGCACAUGUUAGGAGAAAAGUACGGGACGAUGAUUGCCCAGGGCAGUAGUUUGCGCGUGUAUGUUGUCGACCUUGAAACUGAGACGGUGGAGGAGCUGAUAGAUUGGCCUACACGUCAUGCUAACCGUGUGGAUGUCGUGCCACUGCAAAUGAGUUGGUUGACAUUCUUCCUUUCUCGGCUUGGUAGUUGGUAG
Molecule: ribosomal RNA, 585 nt
Filed under: Triticum aestivum (bread wheat)
Lineage: Eukaryota; Viridiplantae; Streptophyta; Magnoliopsida; Poales; Poaceae
Description: partial small subunit ribosomal RNA
Source: RNAcentral